AACGAACGCUGGCGGCAUGCCUAACACAUGCAAGUCGAACGAGACCUUCGGGUCUAGUGGCGCACGGGUGCGUAACGCGUGGGAACCUGCCCUUAGGUUCGGAAUAACUCCCCGAAAGGGGUGCUAAUACCGGAUAAUGUCUUCGGACCAAAGAUUUAUCGCCCUUGGAUGGGCCCGCGUUGGAUUAGCUAGUUGGUAGGGUAAAAGCCUACCAAGGCGACGAUCCAUAGCUGGUCUGAGAGGAUGAUCAGCCACACUGGGACUGAGACACGGCCCAGACUCCUACGGGAGGCAGCAGUGGGGAAUAUUGGACAAUGGGCGAAAGCCUGAUCCAGCAAUGCCGCGUGAGUGAUGAAGGCCUUAGGGUUGUAAAGCUCUUUUACCCGGGAAGAUAAUGACAGUACCGGGAGAAUAAGCUCCGGCUAACUCCGUG
Molecule: ribosomal RNA, 433 nt
Filed under: uncultured bacterium
Lineage: Bacteria
Description: partial 16S ribosomal RNA
Rfam family: Bacterial small subunit ribosomal RNA
Source: RNAcentral